This 77-nucleotide transfer RNA is filed under the name Candidatus Terrybacteria bacterium RIFCSPLOWO2_01_FULL_58_14. RNAcentral describes it as "tRNA-Trp". It matches the Rfam family "tRNA". From Rfam's summary of the family: Transfer RNA (tRNA) molecules are approximately 80 nucleotides in length. Their secondary structure includes four short double-helical elements and three loops (D, anti-codon, and T loops). The record is from RNAcentral. Lineage: Bacteria; Candidatus Terryibacteriota.
AGGGGCGUAGCUCAACUGGUCAGAGCAUCGGUCUCCAAAACCGAAGGUUCUGGGUUCGAGUCCCAGCGCCCCUGCCA